RNAcentral lists this ribosomal RNA (606 nucleotides) under uncultured bacterium. RNAcentral describes it as "bacterial SSU rRNA". It matches the Rfam family "Bacterial small subunit ribosomal RNA", at positions 256 to 862 of the family's 1533-position model. The record is from RNAcentral.
GGUAACGGCUCACCAAGGCUACGAUGUCUAGGGGUUCUGAGAGGAAGGUCCCCCACACUGGUACUGAGACACGGACCAGACUCCUACGGGAGGCAGCAGUGAGGAAUAUUGGUCAAUGGGCGCAAGCCUGAACCAGCCAUGUCGCGUGCAGGAAGACUGCCCUAUGGGUUGUAAACUGCUUUUAUAGUAGAAGAAACACAUCUACGAGUAGAUGUCUGCCAGUAUACUAUGAAUAAGCAUCGGCUAACUCCGUGCCAGCAGCCGCGGUAAUACGGAGGAUGCAAGCGUUAUCCGGAUUUAUUGGGUUUAAAGGGUGCGUAGGCGGGACUGUAAGUCAGGGGUGAAAUACUGCAGCUUAACUGUAGCAUUGCCUUUGAAACUGCCGUUCUUGAGUACAGUUGAGGUAGGCGGAAUGUGGUGUGUAGCGGUGAAAUGCAUAGAUAUACCACAGAACGCCGAUUGCGAAGGCAGCUUACUAAGCUGUUACUGACGCUGAGGCACGAAAGCGUGGGGAUCAAACAGGAUUAGAUACCCUGGUAGUCCACGCUGUAAACGAUGAUUACUGGUUGUUAGCGAUAUAUAGCUAGUGACUGAGCGAAAGCAUUA